AUUGAACGCUGGCGGCAUGCUUUACACAUGCAAGUCGAACGGUAACGCGGGGGCAACCCUGGCGACGAGUGGCGAACGGGUGAGUAAUACAUCGGAACAUGUCCUGGAGUGGGGGAUAGCUCGGCGAAAGCCGGAUUAAUACCGCAUACGCUCUGAGGAGGAAAGCGGGGGGACCUUCGGGCCUCGCGCUGCAGGAGUGGCCGAUGUCGGAUUAGCUAGUUGGUGGGGUAAGGCCCACCAAGGCGACGAUCCGUAGCUGGUCUGAGAGGAUGAUCAGCCACACUGGGACUGAGACACGGCCCA
RNAcentral lists this ribosomal RNA (303 nucleotides) under uncultured bacterium. RNAcentral describes it as "bacterial SSU rRNA". It matches the Rfam family "Bacterial small subunit ribosomal RNA", at positions 30 to 333 of the family's 1533-position model. The record is from RNAcentral.